Molecule: RNA transcript, 2918 nt
Organism: Cyprinodon variegatus (sheepshead minnow)
Lineage: Eukaryota; Metazoa; Chordata; Actinopteri; Cyprinodontiformes; Cyprinodontidae
Gene name: glucose-6-phosphate 1-dehydrogenase-like
Exons: 13
Source: RefSeq, a predicted model, not a curated record
CAUAUAUUCCCUCAAAUUAAACAUUUGCAGGGAAGACAGGAUCUUUUCUAAAAUAAACUUGGUAAAUAAAAACACACCACUUAAAAGGGGUGUUUUUCAUUUCAACAAUAGGUGGCAGCACAGAGUUAAGAUUUUCUUCAGGGUCAUAGUAAAAAUAUAAAGCUCAGCAUUCCAGCCUGUGGCAUGCCUGGAGGGUCACUGUUGGGACAGCAGUUUGCUCAGAGAAGAAGUAUGGAGCCCUUAACUCGUACUGAGGUGUUCGGACAGCUCAGAAAGGAGCUAUAUGGAGACAAGGAGUGGAGUUAUUCCAGCGCACACCUAUUUAUCAUCCUGGGAGCAUCUGGAGAUCUCGCUAAAAAGAAAAUCUAUCCAACAUUGUGGUGCUUAUUCAGAGAUGGCCUGCUCCCAGAAGAUAUCCAUAUUGUGGGUUUUGCCCGGUCUAACCUGACCAUGGAGAACAUUAAGGCAGCAUGUCUGCCAUACAUGAAGGUUGCAGAUGAAGAACUUGAUCGUUUAUCAGCCUUCUUCCAAAGGAACUCCUAUCUGAGUGGUCAGUAUGAUGAUGGCAGCUGCUUCCAACAACUCAACAGCCAUCUGUUAUCUCUGCCUGGAGGAGAAAAUGCCAACCGGCUCUUCUACCUGGCACUGCCCCCCACUGUCUACCACCAUGUCAGCACAAACAUCAGAAACCACUGCAUGAGCUGCAAAGGUUGGAACAGGGUGAUCUUUGAGAAGCCAUUCGGUCGUGACCUGCAGAGCUCCCAGGAGCUAUCAGCCCACCUGUCUUCCCUGUUCAAAGAAGACCAGAUCUACCGCAUAGAUCACUACCUGGGAAAAGAGAUGGUCCAAAACCUCAUGGUUCUCAGGUUUGGAAAUCGCAUUUUUGGACCCAUAUGGAACAGGAACAGUGUGGCCUGCGUCGUUCUCACUUUCAAGGAUCCUUAUGGAACUCAGGGCCGAGGAGGAUAUUUUAAUGACUUUGGGAUAAUUAGAGAUGUCAUGCAGAAUCACCUGCUUCAGAUGCUCUGUUUGAUUGCCAUGGAAAAACCUGCAUCCAUCAGCCCAGACGAUGUGAGGAAUGAGAAGGUGAAGGUACUGAAACGCAUAGCUGCUCCUGAUGUGUCAGAUGUGGUGCUUGGUCAGUAUGUUGGAGAUCCAAACGGGGAGGGAGACUCCAAGCUUGGGUAUCUCAAUGAUCCCACAGUACCAGAAGGCUCCAGCACACCAACGUUUGCAACUGCAGUGCUCUAUGUCCGGAAUGAAAGAUGGGAUGGGGUUCCUUUCAUUCUGCGCUGUGGUAAAGCCCUGAAUGAGCGGAAAGCCGAGGUGCGCCUGCAGUUCACAGAUGUCCCGGGAAACAUCUUUGCUGAACGUUGUCAGAGGAAUGAGUUGGUGGUCCGGGUUCAGCCUGACGAGGCUAUUUACCUAAAGAUGAUGACCAAGAGACCUGGAGUUUUCUUCAGCCCAGAAGAGACUGAGCUGGACCUCACUUAUAAGAGCAGAUACAAGAAUGUUAAACUGCCCGAUGCUUAUGAAAGACUGAUUCUGGAUGUCUUCUGUGGAAAUCAGAUGCACUUUGUCCGCAGUGACGAGUUGCGAGAAGCAUGGAGGAUCUUUACACCGCUUCUCCGACAAAUGGAGGAUGUAAAGAAGUAUCCCAUUCCUUACACUUAUGGGAGUCGUGGUCCGAGUGAAUCAGACGAGCUUAUGCAGAGGGUGGGCUUCCGUUACGAAGGAACAUACAAGUGGGUGCAUCCCCACACAAGCUGAUGCUCCACUUUGUGUUAAUUGCAUGCACAGAUUCACUAAAACCUUUUGUAUGUUUACAAAGAAUAAAGUUGUCUGCAGCCAUCUCUGUUCCAGUUAAAUUUUGUCUGCAUGUACUCAUAAAAGCACAGUGUUUUGUCCCCAAUCAAACAUUAGCUAAUGUAGAAGUAACACGAUAUAACAGUAUGAUUUCACGUGCUCUGUGCAUCUGAGAUUUUCCCCUCAGUCGUUUCAACCUUUUGUGUAAAAAUGAAAAAGAAAUGUAUCAGUUUGCACUGAAAUCAGAUCCUAUAAAGCUAAAAGGAGGACAAACUGCAGCUUUAUAAAGUAUCAGGGCUAAAGAAUGUGGAUAAUGUAUUCAUUCUUUAGAACAAGGUAAUUUAAAGCUGCUUCUCUGCUACUGACAAAGCUGUAUUUACAGUAAUCACCAAAAUGCAAUGAUGCAACUUGUGAUUUACGUAAAGCCACACCGCCUAGCUGAUACAGUAUACCAGGAGGACUUGUUGGACUGGUUAGUCUGGGAGAUGGCGCCUCUCCCAAUAACCGUCCACAUGGACAAACAUUUGUCAUUUCUACAAACAACUUGUUGCUGUGUACCCUAACUGGAACUACUGUACAGUACACACCUGCACAGAUCAGAACCUACAGGGAUCUUUCCUGGGAUUCAGAAAGUUGUGGGAAGAACAGUAUCGGUGGACAUGUGUUCAAAUAAGCAAGUCUACUGCGCUUGGUUUACAGUAGUAAAAUUGUAGCUGUUUGGUUAGUUGAUGAGUCAAUGUGUAGUCUAAUAAGAAACUCAUCUAUCUCCUUUAUGAUCUGAAGCUGUUGCUGUUUUGAUUCACACUAAUAAAGAAAUGUUAAAAUACAUGUUUUUAUUUCAUAUAUCUUGCAGCCUCAGUCAACAUGCCUAAAUUCUCUUAAAGAAGACAAAAACCAUAACAGACUAGAAGCAGCAAACAUGACGUGCACAGUAACGGAUACACUUUUUUAAAGGAACAUGUAUAAGGUUUUAGAUAUAAAUAGUCCUUUUCUAAAUAUUACAGUGAAAAAGUAGAAAUUAAAGUGCCUGAAAUAUGAGGAAAGGUUGCACUUUACAAUAACAAUCAUAAUCAUAAUAAAUGUUAAAGAGACAAUUUAUUAAUGGUUAAUAU